RNAcentral lists this ribosomal RNA (429 nucleotides) under uncultured bacterium. Its description in RNAcentral is "bacterial SSU rRNA". It matches the Rfam family "Bacterial small subunit ribosomal RNA", at positions 355 to 776 of the family's 1533-position model. The record is from RNAcentral.
UGGGGAAUAUUGGACAAUGGGCGCAAGCCUGAUCCAGCCAUGCCGCGUGUGUGAAGAAGGCCUUCGGGUUGUAAAGCACUUUUGUUGGGGAAGAAAAGCCAUGGGUUAAUAGCUCGUGGUCAUGACGGUACCCAAAGAAUAAGCACCGGCUAACUUCGUGCCAGCAGCCGCGGUAAUACGAAGGGUGCAAGCGUUACUCGGAAUUACUGGGCGUAAAGCGUGCGUAGGUGGUCUGUCAAGUCCGAUGUGAAAGCCCUGGGCUCAACCUGGGAACUGCAUUGGAAACUGGCAGUCUGGAGUGCGGUAGAGGGUAGCGGAAUUCCCGGUGUAGCAGUGAAAUGCGUAGAUAUCGGGAGGAACAUCCGUGGCGAAGGCGGCUACCUGGACCAGCACUGACACUGAGGCACGAAAGCGUGGGGAGCAAACAGG